UGUGUGCUUAGAAAGACUCUAGGAGAGCAAGA
This 32-nucleotide non-coding RNA is filed under the name Mus musculus (house mouse). The record is from RNAcentral. Lineage: Eukaryota; Metazoa; Chordata; Mammalia; Rodentia; Muridae.